CUCCAAUUCAUUCUAUCUGUGACAAAGUAAAUGAUUUCAAUAUAAAGAUUUUAAGAUAGGAGUAUAAAACUUAGGUCUUAUUGUCACAAAGAAAGUUAACAAAGCGACGCGUAAUGGAGUAAGGAAAACGCAUAUUUGUGAGAGAUAAACUCUAUAAUUCAUUUAGCACCGAAUCAAAUUGACAAUUGAAAUGGAAGAUAGAAGUGUGUAUCCCCCAAAACAGUUUUUUUUCAUUAAGAUUGUUAACAGCAUCGGCAUUUGGUAUCUAUUAAACAGUCGAUUCAGAUUCAAUAUUUUAUUUCAUCAAAC
RNAcentral lists this long non-coding RNA (309 nucleotides) under Mytilus galloprovincialis (Mediterranean mussel). Lineage: Eukaryota; Metazoa; Mollusca; Bivalvia; Mytilida; Mytilidae. The record is from RNAcentral.